UCGCGGCUUAUCACCGGCAGUCCCCUCAGAGUGCCCAACUAAAUGAUGGCAACUAAGGGCGAGGGUUGCGCUCGUUGCGGGACUUAACCCAACAUCUCACGACACGAGCUGACGACAGCCAUGCAGCACCUGUGUCCAGGUUCCCUUUCGGGCACCGCUGCAUUUCUGCAGCGUUCCUGGCAUGUCAAGGGUAGGUAAGGUUUUUCGCGUUGCAUCGAAUUAAACCACAUCAUCCACCGCUUGUGCGGGCCCCCGUCAAUUCUUUUAAGUUUUAGCCUUGCGACCAUACUCCCCAGGCGAAUCACUUAACGCGUUAGCUACGACACUGAUCCAGCUAAGCCGAACCAACAUCUAGUGAUUAUCGUUUACGGCGUGGACUUC
Molecule: unclassified non-coding RNA, 381 nt
Filed under: uncultured bacterium
Lineage: Bacteria
Description: contains 16S-23S intergenic spacer region
Source: RNAcentral